This 767-nucleotide ribosomal RNA is filed under the name Burkholderia sp. RNAcentral describes it as "bacterial SSU rRNA". It matches the Rfam family "Bacterial small subunit ribosomal RNA", at positions 99 to 862 of the family's 1533-position model. Lineage: Bacteria; Pseudomonadati; Pseudomonadota; Betaproteobacteria; Burkholderiales; Burkholderiaceae. The record is from RNAcentral.
CGAACGGGUGAGUAAUACAUCGGAACAUGUCCUGUAGUGGGGGAUAGCCCGGCGAAAGCCGGAUUAAUACCGCAUACGAUCUACGGAUGAAAGCGGGGGACCUUCGGGCCUCGCGCUAUAGGGUUGGCCGAUGGCUGAUUAGCUAGUUGGUGGGGUAAAGGCCUACCAAGGCGACGAUCAGUAGCUGGUCUGAGAGGACGACCAGCCACACUGGGACUGAGACACGGCCCCAGACUCCUACGGGAGGCAGCAGUGGGGAAUUUUGGACAAUGGGCGAAAGCCUGAUCCAGCAAUGCCGCGUGUGUGAAGAAGGCCUUCGGGUUGUAAAGCACUUUUGUCCGGAAAGAAAUCCUUGACUCUAAUACAGUCGGGGGAUGACGGUACCGGAAGAAUAAGCACCGGCUAACUACGUGCCAGCAGCCGCGGUAAUACGUAGGGUGCGAGCGUUAAUCGGAAUUACUGGGCGUAAAGCGUGCGCAGGCGGUUUGCUAAGACCGAUGUGAAAUCCCCGGGCUCAACCUGGGAACUGCAUUGGUGACUGGCAGGCUAGAGUAUGGCAGAGGGGGGUAGAAUUCCACGUGUAGCAGUGAAAUGCGUAGAGAUGUGGAGGAAUACCGAUGGCGAAGGCAGCCCCCUGGGCCAAUACUGACGCUCAUGCACGAAAGCGUGGGGAGCAAACAGGAUUAGAUACCCUGGUAGUCCACGCCCUAAACGAUGUCAACUAGUUGUUGGGGAUUCAUUUCCUUAGUAACGUAGCUAACGCGUGA